Molecule: ribosomal RNA, 497 nt
Filed under: uncultured bacterium
Lineage: Bacteria
Description: partial 16S ribosomal RNA
Rfam family: Bacterial small subunit ribosomal RNA
Source: RNAcentral
GAUGAACGCUGGCGGCGCGCCUAAUACAUGCAAGUCGAGCGAACAGACGAGGAGCUUGCUCCUCUGACGUUAGCGGCGGACGGGUGAGUAACACGUGGAUAACCUACCUAUAAGACUGGGAUAACUUCGGGAAACCGGAGCUAAUACCGGAUAAUAUAUUGAACCGCAUGGUUCAAUAGUGAAAGACGGUUUUGCUGUCACUUAUAGAUGGAUCCGCGCCGCAUUAGCUAGUUGGUAAGGUAACGGCUUACCAAGGCAACGAUGCGUAGCCGACCUGGGAGGGUGAUGGGCCACACUGGAACUGAGACACGGUCCAGACUCCUACGGGAGGCAGCAGUAGGGAAUCUUCCGCAAUGGGCGAAAGCCUGACGGAGCAACGCCGCGUGAGUGAUGAAGGUCUUCGGAUCGUAAAACUCUGUUAUUAGGGAAGAACAAAUGUGUAAGUAACUAUGCACGUCUUGACGGUACCUAAUCAGAAAGCCACGGCUAACUACGUG